RNAcentral lists this long non-coding RNA (217 nucleotides) under Lathyrus oleraceus (garden pea). RNAcentral describes it as "Pisum sativum (pea) long non-coding RNA (PSAT_LNC027294)". Lineage: Eukaryota; Viridiplantae; Streptophyta; Magnoliopsida; Fabales; Fabaceae. The record is from RNAcentral.
AGACACUUUUUCUAUAUAGCAAGGAACAUAUGUGUACGAAAAGAAGAGGACCAACUAUUAAGAAUCAAACUUUAUCAAAGUGUUUUUUUUUACUUUUUUUAAAUUGUUAGAUUUUUCUUCAAAUAGGUUAUAAUUGGUAUUAGUAAGUGUCAUGAAAAGUUAGAAGUAAGGAGAAAUAAAAACAAAAGGAUAUUCUGAAAAUAUCUUUAUAUAAAAU